Molecule: ribosomal RNA, 414 nt
Filed under: uncultured microorganism
Description: bacterial SSU rRNA
Rfam family: Archaeal small subunit ribosomal RNA
Source: RNAcentral
CAGCCGCCGCGGUAAUACCGGCGGCCCGAGUGGCGGUCACUAUUAUUGGGCUUAAAGCGUCCGUAGCCGGGUUGGGAAGUCCUCCGGGAAAUCUGGCCGCUUAACGGUCAGAAUGCCGGAGGAUACUCCCAGCCUAGGGAGCGGGAGAGGCCGAGGGUAUUCCCGGAGUAGGGGUGAAAUCCUAUAAUCCCGGGGGGACCACCUGUGGCGAAGGCGCUCGGCUGGAACGCGUCCGACGGUGAGGGACGAAGGCCAGGGGAGCAAACCGGAUUAGAUACCCGGGUAGUCCUGGCUGUAAACGAUGCGGACUUUGUGUCGGACAAGCUAUGAGCUUGUCCGGUGCCGGAGGGAAACCGUUAAGUCCGCCGCCUGGGGAGUACGGCCGCAAGGCUGAAACUUAAAGGAAUUGGCGGG